AACGAACGCUGGCGGCAUGCCUAACACAUGCAAGUCGAACGAGACCUUCGGGUCUAGUGGCGCACGGGUGCGUAACGCGUGGGAACCUGCCCUUAGGUUCGGAAUAACUCAGAGAAAUUUGAGCUAAUACCGGAUAAUGUCUUCGGACCAAAGAUUUAUCGCCUUUGGAUGGGCCCGCGUAGGAUUAGCUUGUUGGUGGGGUAAUGGCCUACCAAGGCGACGAUCCUUAGCUGGUCUGAGAGGAUGAUCAGCCACACUGGGACUGAGACACGGCCCAGCCUCCGACGGGAGGCAGGAGUGGGGAAUAAUGGAACAUGGGGCAAAGCCUGAUCCAGCCAUGGCGGGGGAAGGAAGAAGGCCUUAGGGUUGUAAAGCCCUUUUAACAGGGAAGAUAAUGACAGUACCUGGAGAAUAAGCUCCGGCUAACUCCGUG
Molecule: ribosomal RNA, 433 nt
Filed under: uncultured bacterium
Lineage: Bacteria
Description: partial 16S ribosomal RNA
Rfam family: Bacterial small subunit ribosomal RNA
Source: RNAcentral